RNAcentral lists this ribosomal RNA (776 nucleotides) under Acinetobacter baumannii. RNAcentral's name for it is "partial 23S ribosomal RNA". It matches the Rfam family "Bacterial large subunit ribosomal RNA", at positions 1 to 821 of the family's 2925-position model. The record is from RNAcentral. Lineage: Bacteria; Pseudomonadati; Pseudomonadota; Gammaproteobacteria; Moraxellales; Moraxellaceae.
GUUGUAUAGUCAAGUAAUUAAGUGCAUGUGGUGGAUGCCUUGGCAGUCAGAGGCGAUGAAAGACGUGAUAGCCUGCGAAAAGCUCCGGGGAGGCGGCAAAUAUCCUUUGAUCCGGAGAUGUCUGAAUGGGGGAACCCACCUACUUUAAGGUAGGUAUUGCAACAUGAAUACAUAGUGUUGCAAGGCGAACGAGGGGAAGUGAAACAUCUCAGUACCCUUAGGAAAAGAAAUCAAUUGAGAUUCCCUCAGUAGCGGCGAGCGAACGGGGAUCAGCCCAUUAAGUUAUGUGUGUUUUAGUGGAACGCUCUGGGAAGUGCGAACGUAGAGGGUGAUAUUCCCGUACACGAAAGGGCACACAUAAUGAUGACGAGUAGGGCGAGGCACGUGAAACCUUGUCUGAAUAUGGGGGGACCAUCCUCCAAGGCUAAAUACUCCUGACUGACCGAUAGUGAACCAGUACCGUGAGGGAAAGGCGAAAAGAACCCCUGUGAGGGGAGUGAAAUAGAUCCUGAAACCGCAUGCAUACAAGCAGUGGGAGCACCUUCGUGGUGUGACUGCGUACCUUUUGUAUAAUGGGUCAGCGACUUAUAUUCAGUAGCGAGGUUAACCGUAUAGGGGAGCCGUAGAGAAAUCGAGUCUUAAUAGGGCGUUUAGUUGCUGGGUAUAGACCCGAAACCAGGCGAUCUAUCCAUGAGCAGGUUGAAGGUUGGGUAACACUAACUGGAGGACCGAACCCACUGUCGUUGAAAAGCCAGGGGAUGACUUGUGGAUAGGGG